Oncorhynchus tshawytscha (Chinook salmon) is the source of this 507-nucleotide long non-coding RNA. NCBI's taxonomy places the organism in Eukaryota, Metazoa, Chordata, Actinopteri, Salmoniformes, Salmonidae. The record is from Ensembl.
GUAGCCUAGUGGUUAGAGUGUAGAGGCGGCAGGGUAGCCUAGUGGUUAGAGCGUUGGGGCGGUAGGGUAGCCUGGUGGUUAGAGCGUUGGGGCGGCAGGGUAGCCUGGUGGUUAGAGCGUUGGGGCGGCAGGGUAGCCUAGUGGUUAGAGCGUUGGGGUGGCAGGGUAGCCUAGUGGUUAGAGCGUUGGGGUGGCAGGGUAGCCUAGUGGUUAGAGCGUUGGGGUGGCAGGGUAGCCUAGUGGUUAGAGCGUUGGGGUGGCAGGGUAGCCUGGUGGUUAGAGCGUUGGGGUGGCAGGGUAGCCUAGUGGUUAGAGCGUUGGGGUGGCAGGGUAGCCUGGUGGUUAGAGCGUUGGGGUGGCAGGGUAGCCUGGUGGUUAGAGCGUUGGGGUGGCAGGGUAGCCUAGUGGUUAGAGCGUUGGGGCGGCAGGUAGCCUAGUGGUUAGAGCGUUGGGGCGGCAGGUAGCCUAGUGGUUAGAGCGUUGGGGCGGCAGGUAGCCUAGUGGUUA